This 376-nucleotide ribosomal RNA is filed under the name uncultured bacterium. RNAcentral's name for it is "bacterial SSU rRNA". It matches the Rfam family "Bacterial small subunit ribosomal RNA", at positions 521 to 896 of the family's 1533-position model. The record is from RNAcentral.
UAAGACGAACCGUGCGAACGUUGUUCGGAAUCACUGGGCUUAAAGGGCGCGUAGGCGGGCUGCCGCGUCCGGGGUGAAAUCCCACGGCUCAACCGUGGAACUGCCUCGGAUACGGGCGGUCUUGAGGGGGGUAGGGGCACGCGGAACUGUGGGUGGAGCGGUGAAAUGCGUUGAUAUCCACAGGAACUCCGGUGGCGAAGGCGGCGUGCUGGACCCCAUCUGACGCUGAGGCGCGAAAGCCAGGGGAGCAAACGGGAUUAGAUACCCCGGUAGUCCUGGCCCUAAACGUUGGGUACUAGGUAGUAGACCAGACAUGGGUUUACUGCCGGAGCAAAAGUGCUAAGUACCCCGCCUGGGGAGUAUGGUCGCAAGGCUG